RNAcentral lists this ribosomal RNA (134 nucleotides) under Dermacentor reticulatus. Its description in RNAcentral is "partial large subunit ribosomal RNA". Lineage: Eukaryota; Metazoa; Arthropoda; Arachnida; Ixodida; Ixodidae. The record is from RNAcentral.
UUAAUAAUUCCAGUUAUUUUAAUUUGUGAAGAAACAAUUAUAUAAAUUAAGGACAAGAAGACCCUAAGAAUUUAAGAAUUCUUAUGUUACUUAAAUAUAAAAUAGGAAUUCUUAGUUGGGGCAACUAAAAAACA